This 74-nucleotide transfer RNA is filed under the name Novibacillus thermophilus. RNAcentral describes it as "tRNA-Gly". It matches the Rfam family "tRNA". Rfam says of the family: Transfer RNA (tRNA) molecules are approximately 80 nucleotides in length. Their secondary structure includes four short double-helical elements and three loops (D, anti-codon, and T loops). Lineage: Bacteria; Bacillati; Bacillota; Bacilli; Caryophanales; Thermoactinomycetaceae. The record is from RNAcentral.
GCGGAUGUAGUUCAAUGGUAGAACACAAGCUUCCCAAGCUUGAAACGCGGGUUCGAUUCCCGUCAUCCGCUCCA